GAUGUUCGGCGCACGCGGGGCCCCAGCCUGCCCCGUGGCUCUGACAACCCGACCCGGACGCGGCCAGUUUAGGAAGCGGAUGAGAUCACUGGCCUGAAACAAUUUAAAUUCUGGUGUUAGCAAGAAACGGGGGUAAUUUCGGCCACACAGACCCCCGCCCCCGGCCCAGUCGCAAACUCCUUUCACUUGCCGCUUCGCGCAGCCCUGAGCUUUUUUAAAAAGGGUCUGGAGUGAGCCUCAAGGCGAGAGCCUACAAUUUCCUCCCCCAGAUUUCGCCAUUUCAGGACUGACAGUGCGCUAGGCAGCAUAGGACCCUUUUCCAGCGUUUUCAGGGUGAGCCCCGUCAUGGUUUUCUGUCCUGGGCAAAAGUCGGAACCAUUGGGGUUCUGAUUUGUGUCGCCAAGAUAGAGAAACAUGCAAGUCUGCCCUAGAGAGAGUUGUCUCAAGGAAGUGUUUCUAAGUUUCCCUGAGGCUCUUUUAAGCGUUGUAUUGGUAUACAUUAGUAUAGAGAGGGUUGUUACUGAAUUUAAUGAAGUUUGUAAAGAUCUAAUCGUUAGAGCUAUUAUUGCUACCACUUAUUAAUCCUCCCUUGAAAUAUGCUUGUGGGGUGUUUUCCAUUUGCCUCACUUGUGAAAGACCCUUUCAAUGAUGAGAAAGUAUCUAAUUUUUCUGAUUGGGAAACUGAAUGGGAAAUCAAUUUUUAUCCUGCAUUUAAAGAGGAAAUAAAGUGUAGUAGCAUUGCACAUUUCAUGCAUCCUGGGCAUCCUCAUUUCAGCCAUGUAUAGGGUUGGAGCACAGGCACAGGAAGAUUUUCCCUGCCCUGACUACCUCCAUCUCUAGUGAAUGGCACUACAAUAUACGAUGGUCAGGCUUUGUUAUUUAUUUAUUUUUUAACACUUUUAUUUAUUUAUUUUUGUCUUGAGGGCCAAACCCAUGGCAUAUGGAGGUUCCCAGGCUCCCAGGCUAGGGGUUGAAUCGGAGCUAUAGCUGCUGGCCUACACCACAGCCACAGCAACUUGGGAUCCAUGCUGUGUCUUUGACCUACCACAGCUCACGGCAACGCCAGAUCUUUAACCCACUGAGCGAGGCCAGGGUUCAAACCCUUAACCUCAUGGUUCCCAGUCAGAUUCACUUCUGUUGCACCACAAUGGGAACUCCAGGCUUUGUUGUUUUACCUUUGGUUUAGAUGUUGGGGAUUCCUGUAGAGCCAAACAUUAAAAACAAUUCCCUCUAGGAGGAGAAGCUAGGGCUAAGAGCCAGGCAGCCUGAGCCAGUGUCUAUUUAAGGACUGUUCUCUACUCACUGGGUUCUGCCUCUGGGUAAACAAGUUUCAUACUUAAUUUGGUUUUCUGUAAAUGUCGAAAGUUUGUUUCCAGGAGUUUCCUUCAUGGUUCAGUGGUAGCAAACCCAACUAGCAUCCAUGAGGAUGCUGGUUCGAUCCCUGACUCCACUCAGUGGGUUAAGGAUCCGGUGUUGUCAUGAUCUGUGGUGUAGGUCGCAGACACAGCUUGGAUCGGAUCUGGUGUGGCUGUGGCAUGGGCUGCCAGUUGCAGCUCUGAUUGGACCCCUAGCCUGGGAACCUUCCAUAUGACACAGGUGCAGCCCUAAAAAAGAAAAAUUCCUUUUUUCCAGGUAGAUACUGUUGCCAGUAAUGUUAUUUUUUCUAAAUUGAUAUUCUUCCAUGCUAGUAUAAAAAGGAAAUAAAAGUUGGAAAGAUGGUAAACACACACACACAACCAUGAAAAGUUACCAUAAGAUAUUAACAGUUUUUCUUACUUCCAUAUCAGGCUUGGACCAGUUUAAGAUGCUGACAAGAUUCAGGGCUGGUGCUUAGAAGAAGCUUUUCAAGGAGGUAUGGUAUAUUUGAACAUGUGAAAUAUAUGGAACAGAGGUUUUUGCUUUCUCUAUCCCUUUCAUGGUGGUGGUGAUUAACUUUGAUCUCUUUGACAGAAAAUGGAUCAAUAGAUUGCUAAGGAUCAGGGAAUAGUUUGUUGCAUAAGUUUCAAGGGGUGUGUUCAUGAGGAACUAUUCCUACAUUUUGAUUUAAGGUUGGUUUCUGCAUUUGUCAAAUUUCAGUGUUUUACUGAAUGUAAAUUCUUCAAUAAACAUGAUU
This 2113-nucleotide long non-coding RNA is filed under the name Sus scrofa (pig). RNAcentral's name for it is "lncRNA (ENSSSCG00050054225.1)". Lineage: Eukaryota; Metazoa; Chordata; Mammalia; Artiodactyla; Suidae. The record is from RNAcentral.